UAAAAGAUCAAUUCUGCAAGGCUGGAGAUCCAGAUACUCUGUCAGACUGAUUCACGGACUGAGCAUUCACAAAUGUAUGAAUCAGCCUGACUGGAAAAAACUAUUCAUGCUCUGAACUAUAAAAACACAGAAGCACGGUAUGCAUAAGAUAUAUAUAGGAUGGGAUUAUGCUUAUUCUGACAAUUGACAGCACAGGUGGGCAACCUGCAGCCUGGUGGCCCUAUGUGACCCCCCGAUCUCAUUUUAUGUAGGCCGCAACGACUCCUGAAGCUGCCCAUGUUCUUUCAUCCAAAAAUCAUUCAUGCAUAGAAUUACCAACGGUAGAAGAAUGGCAGAUGAAGAUGAUGGAGUUUAUGGAGCUGGCUGACCUCACCGGGAGAAUCCGCGACCAGAAAGAAGAGGAACACCAAGAAGAUUGGAAGAAAUUUAAAGACUAUUUGAAUAAAUAUUGUAAUAUUAAAGAUAUGUAACCACUUGAAAGAAACAAUUAGGCCUAGGAUUAAAAUGGAUUUAAAUUUAUAAAUAAGAAAAUGUAUGAUAAGGAAAGUUACUGCAUUUUUCGCCUUAUAGGACGC
Molecule: non-coding RNA, 575 nt
Organism: Podarcis lilfordi (Lilford's wall lizard)
Lineage: Eukaryota; Metazoa; Chordata; Lepidosauria; Squamata; Lacertidae
Source: the annotation of a GenBank genome assembly